Molecule: ribosomal RNA, 428 nt
Filed under: uncultured bacterium
Lineage: Bacteria
Description: partial 16S ribosomal RNA
Rfam family: Bacterial small subunit ribosomal RNA
Source: RNAcentral
GUGGGGAAUAUUGGGCAAUGGGCGAAAGCCUGACCCAGCAACGCCGCGUGAGGGAAGAAGGCCUUCGGGUUGUAAACCUCUGUCCUUGGUGACGAAAAAAAUGACGGUAGCCAAGGAGGAAGCCCCGGCUAACUACGUGCCAGCAGCCGCGGUAAUACGUAGGGGGCGAGCGUUGUCCGGAAUUACUGGGCGUAAAGGGUGCGUAGGUGGCCUUUUAAGUUGGAUGUGAAAUCCCCGGGCUUAACUUGGGUGGUGCAUCUAAUACUGGAGGGCUAGAGUGCAGGAGAGGGAAGCGGAAUUCCUAGUGUAGCGGUGAAAUGCGUAGAUAUUAGGAGGAACACCAGUGGCGAAGGCGGCUUUCUGGACUGUAACUGACACUGAGGCACGAAAGCGUGGGGAGCAAACAGGAUUAGAUACCCUGGUAGUCC